AUGACAGUUUAUCAAUUGGAAGAACUGAAGGCCCUUUGGUUUGCUUUUUUUCCUGGAACUGGUCUUUGGGGAAUAACAUCUGAACCAUGGAAAGAGAUGGGUUGGCAAGGAACAGACCCAUCUACAGAUUUUAGGUGGAGGCUUCAUCUCCUUGGAAAAUUUGUUAUUCUUCGCCAUGAUCUAUCUGAAGUAAAUUACAGGCAGGAACCAACAACUGCUUCUUCCAUCAAUUCUUCAAUCUGCAUUCCGUAUUUUUGCUGA
RNAcentral lists this ribosomal RNA (261 nucleotides) under Triticum aestivum (bread wheat). Its description in RNAcentral is "partial small subunit ribosomal RNA". Lineage: Eukaryota; Viridiplantae; Streptophyta; Magnoliopsida; Poales; Poaceae. The record is from RNAcentral.